GGGAGUGAAAAACUCCCUCGCCGGAAGACCAAGGGUUCCUGUCCAACGUUAAUCGGGGCAGGGUAAGUCGACCCCUAAGGCGAGGCUGAAAAGCGUAGUCGAUGGGAAACGGGUUAAUAUUCCCGUACUUCUUACAAUUGCGAUGGGGGGACGGAGAAGGCUAGGUGGGCCUCGCGACGGUUGUCGAGGUUCAAGUGCGUAGGCAGGGGGAUUAGGCAAAUCCGGUUCCCUAUAUGCUGAGACACGAUGUCGAGCUACUACGGUAGUGAAGUCAUUGAUGCCAUGCUUCCGGGAAAAGCCUCUAAGCUUCAGAUUGUAAGGAAUCGUACCCCAAACCGACACAGGUGGUCGGGUAGAGAAUACCAAGGCGCUUGAGAGAACUCGGGUGAAGGAACUAGGCAAAAUGGUACCGUAACUUCGGGAGAAGGUACGCUC
RNAcentral lists this ribosomal RNA (435 nucleotides) under Enterovibrio norvegicus. RNAcentral describes it as "bacterial LSU rRNA". It matches the Rfam family "Bacterial large subunit ribosomal RNA", at positions 1317 to 1753 of the family's 2925-position model. Lineage: Bacteria; Pseudomonadati; Pseudomonadota; Gammaproteobacteria; Vibrionales; Vibrionaceae. The record is from RNAcentral.